AGCAGCCGCGGUAAUUCCAGCUCCAAUAGCGUAUAUUAAAGUUGUUGCAGUUAAAAGCUUGUAGUUGAAUUUCGGGAUCAAAGGAUCGGUCAUGCCUUGGUAUGUACUGGUUUUAUUGGUUCUCACCUUCUAAAGAACCAUAAUGUCAUUCAUUUGAUGUUAUGGGGAAUUAGGACUGUUACCUUGAAAAAUUAGAGUGUUUAAAGCAGGCUUACGCUUGAAUACAUUAGCAUGGAAUAAUGAAAUAGGACAUCAGAUUCUAUUUUGUUGGUUUCUAGGAUCGAUGUAAUGAUUAAUAGGGAUAGUUGGGGGCAUUAGUAUUCAAUUGUCGGAGGUGAAAUUCUUGGAUUUAUUGAAGACUAACUACUGCGAAAGCAUUUGCCAAGGAUGUUUCCAUUAAUCAAGAACGAAAGUUAGGGGAUCGAAGACGAUCAGAUACCGUCGUAGUCUUAACCAUAAACUAUGCCGACUAGGGAUCGGAUGAUGUUAAUUUUAUAAUGAUC
Molecule: unclassified non-coding RNA, 503 nt
Filed under: uncultured Glomus
Lineage: Eukaryota; Fungi; Glomeromycota; Glomeromycetes; Glomerales; Glomeraceae
Description: SSU rRNA
Rfam family: Eukaryotic small subunit ribosomal RNA
Source: RNAcentral